RNAcentral lists this long non-coding RNA (2535 nucleotides) under Daphnia pulex (common water flea). Its description in RNAcentral is "uncharacterized LOC124193797". Lineage: Eukaryota; Metazoa; Arthropoda; Branchiopoda; Diplostraca; Daphniidae. The record is from RNAcentral.
GGGUACGCUGACGGGAAGGACCUCGGUGGUCCGCCCAUGGGACUCUGAUGAUGAUGAUGAUGAUCCAUUAGGGACCUCAAUCCACUAGAAAUAUUACAACGACAAGGACCAAAUUGAAUAGGGAGAGCUAUAGUCCCGCCAAAGAUUGUUGGUUGCCAUAGUAUCUGCUUCUUCCCUUUUCGAAUUACAUUCGAUUAAAACCGGCGCCAGCGUACGACGGAUCCGCAUCCAAUGUGGCCGGCGCCUGCCACCGGAAGAAAAACCCAACCGGAAGAAAAAAAAAAGGAUCGUCGGAGAAAAUGGCGUGAAGGUGACAAGUGCACACAAUGCUCUCUCUGCUCUCGGGUGUGAUUCGUGCCACUUCCUGGACGAUGAGCCAGUCAACCCUUCCAGCAUUCCCGGAUCGAACCAAGGAGAAUGCCGGUGUCGGGCAAUCGGUGGAUGCUUCCGAGUCAACAACUUACUCAUGUGAGACAAGUAACAUACUAUACACACAGAUAUUGUGUAGCCUCUUCUACCCUUUCUAUUCCCCUCUCCCCCCCCCCCCCCCCUUUGCUGGAUUUUGGCAUCCACUUGGGUAGCCGGAACACUCCUAAUUGCCUUUACGGCUCAUUGAUCCUCGACUCUCUUUAGCCUAUCUUUCUGCUGUCCAUUAUUUGGAUUGGCUCCCACACGCCUUUCAUCGAUUGCAGAUGAAAUUGACUAACUAGAGACAAGAUUGCUCUGAACUAAUCAUCUAAUCUGGCUUCUAUUUUCGUUCUUUCUUCAUCCGUUUAAUGCUCUGAAAUGCGUAUUACCUGUGCGGAAGCGGGAAAAGGUGCGAUCCGUAGGGAGAACCGAACGGGAAGCUGUUUAGAUUGCUGCCGCUCCCACCGCCUAGCGAACUGCUGUGGCCUGUCAUAGUCGAGAGUUUGGGCUGUUCGGCGGAGUGAACCGCAUUGCCGGAUGAGGAGGACUGCGGCUGUUGAACGGUGUGCGGAUUUUUGGAUGCGGAGUCGGCUGACGUUCCGGCCGAAGGGCUGACGGAGUAGACUUCCUCGCGGCUGGUAAUCGGAGUGCCGUUGGGAUCGCCGUGACUGCUGCGGCGGAUGCUUCCGUCGCUGUUGCUGCUGUGACUCCGCUCGUCUGAAUGAUCGUCGUCGACUUUGAUUUCAACCACUGGCGCCAAGGUAAUUGCCGUUUGACUACUACAAAAACCCGAAAUGUUAAUUUUACAUCCGCCUAAAUUAUUCCGGAAUUAUUUCUCAAUCAACUUACUCGUCGUCGACGUCAAUGUUGACUUGAUUCGAAGGGCUGCAGCGUCCCGUCUCGAAUUCCAGCUGCUCUACAUCCGGACUGGUAUCUCCGUCACAUCCAUCACCUUCGUUCGGAUCCUAUUGCGCAACACGGAAAUGUUUUGACAAGGUGAUGAUGACACCCAAAGUGGUGCGGAGGAAAUCCAUCGGGAGCGAGCAGAUAGAGCUUCAAUUAUUUACCAAGCCAAGAAGAUUCGAAAAAAAAGAAUUAACUCACAGGUUAGAGAUGGAGGUCCGACGCCAAAGGAGCCGGGCAGAUCCAGUGCUGAUUGCAAACGGCUGGCGAUCGAAGGAAGGAGAUUGGCCGGCGGAUAGUGGUAACAAAACAUUUUCCUGCUAUCUUCCCGUUUGUCUUCUGUUCUCAGCCGCAAAUUCAAGGAGAAAAAAAAGAAAACAGGAUCAUCGUCAGCCCGUUAAAUGCAAUGACAAAAUAAAGCCUCAUCAUCGCCCAACCAAAGUGCCAAACAGACAAACAAACAAACAGACACACACGCAAACACACAAAAGGAAUAAUAACAAUAUAAGGAGACGCGAUGAGAUGGAAACUGAUGAGAAACAAAGAGGGCCGGAUGACACGUAAUGUCAUCCAGUCUUGAUGGAUCAAAGGCAAAGUCGAAGCUCCUUGAGGUUUUGAUUCCAAGAGAGAGCGAUACACACUCCCGCCCGGUACCCAUACAGGCAAAGGUGAUUUCAACGAAGUUAGUACCGUCGACUUCUCUCCUCUCUUGCUUAUUCGUCCCGGUCGAUUGAUCAUCAACUCGUCAGAGCUAAUAGUGUAUAUAAUAUCUAUCUAUCUAUCUAGGGCAAGCGAGUGAGAGAUAGCAGCAGCCAGCAUCCCCCCUCUUCUCUCUUCUUGAUCCUUGUUCUCUCUCCCUCAGCAGUUGGUUAAUGAAGAGCUCUGAGUGAAUUUGGCCAGCUUGAGGAUCUUUGCCUUAUCGAGCCAUCGGCGACGAUUGCAUUAGCCCCAGCAACUUUCUCUCGCAGGCUAUACGCUCAUCAGCUCCCCGACCAAAUGAAGGAGCCCAAUCUUGUUAGCACCUCGACGCGGCACGUCUGUCUAUAUGGAUCAACUCGACGGGAUCUAUUUGCUUUACAUUACAGACGGUUGGACUUACCGGCGGAGCGAUAGAAGAGUAGAUCCGGCUGGUUGGAGAACUGGAUGAACGAUUGCGGGCCGAUGGCCGUGCCAUUGCGGAUGAUAUCGAGUGGGGCCCGAUGAGCGUGGUGUUCUUCUUCCCGC